RNAcentral lists this ribosomal RNA (403 nucleotides) under uncultured bacterium. RNAcentral's name for it is "bacterial SSU rRNA". It matches the Rfam family "Bacterial small subunit ribosomal RNA", at positions 355 to 775 of the family's 1533-position model. The record is from RNAcentral.
UGGGGAAUAUUGGACAAUGGGCGCAAGCCUGAUCCAGCCAUGCCGCGUGAGUGAUGAAGGCCUUAGGGUUGUAAAGCUCUUUUACUCGGGAAGAUAGUGACGGUACCGAGAGAAUAAGCCCCGGCUAACUUCGUGCCAGCAGCCGCGGUAAUACGAAGGGGGCUAGCGUUGUUCGGAAUUACUGGGCGUAAAGCGCACGUAGGCGGAUCUUUAAGUCAGAGGUGAAAUCCCAAGGCUCAACCUUGGAACUGCCUUUGAUACUGGGGAUCUUGAGUCCGGAAGAGGUGAGUGGAACUGCGAGUGUAGAGGUGAAAUUCGUAGAUAUUCGCAAGAACACCAGUGGCGAAGGCGGCUCACUGGUCCGGUACUGACGCUGAGGUGCGAAAGCGUGGGGAGCAAACAG